GACGAACGCUGGCGGCGUGCCUAAUACAUGCAAGUCGAACGCAGUGGGGACGGGUGAGUAACACGUGGGUAACCUCCCAUCAGAGGGGAUAACACUUGGAAACAGGUGCUAAACCGAUACUGAUGGAUGGACCCGCGGUGCAUUAGAUAGUUGGUGAGGUAACGGCUCACCAAGGCCACGAUGCAUAGCAGACCUGAGAGGGUGAUCAUCGAGACUGGGACUGAGACGAGACCCAGACUUCUACGGGCGGCAGCAGUAGGGAAUCUUCGGCAGUGGAGGAAAGUCUGACCGAGCAACGGCGCGAGGGUGAAGAAGUUUUUCGGAUCGUAAACCAGUGAGGUGAGAGGAGCGGUAUGUAACCAGAGGGCUCCGGCUAACUACGUGCCAGCAGCCGCGGUAAUUC
RNAcentral lists this ribosomal RNA (403 nucleotides) under uncultured bacterium. RNAcentral describes it as "partial 16S ribosomal RNA". It matches the Rfam family "Bacterial small subunit ribosomal RNA", at positions 28 to 526 of the family's 1533-position model. The record is from RNAcentral.